AUGACGACACCGGCGGCGGGGGCCCCGGGGUCACCGGUGGCGGCGCCGGAUCAGGUGGCGGCCAGAGACGCCGUGAUCGGGUGGUACCGCGGCGAGUUCGCGGCCGCCAACGCCGUGAUCGACGCGCUCUGCGGCCACCUCGCGCAGAUCGGCGGGGCCGACUACGACGCCGUCUUCGCCGCGCUCCACCGCCGCCGCCUCAACUGGUUCCCCGUCAUCCACAUGCAGAAGUUCUACUCCGUCGCCGACGUCGCCGCCGAGCUCCGCCGCGUCUCCGAGGCCCGCGCCGCCGCGGCCGCCGCCUACUCCGAGGAGGAGGCCGCGUCCACGGUGAUCCACGAGCCCAUGGACGAGCUCGUCGUCACCGUUGCCGCGGAGCCGGACCCCGAGCCCGAGCGCGAGCACGAGCCGAUACCGGAGGCGCAGCCCGACGUCUCCGUCAACCCCGUCGUCGCCGUCCACCCCGUCGCGGCGGACCACGAGCCGGAGGCGGACGGCGAAGAUUCCUCGGGAGAUUCGUCGGAGCGGAAGGCAGCCUCCACGGAAGACGACGCCGCCCACGACGGACCAGAUAACACCGACCAAGGAUCUCAAGGCGGGCACAGCCUACCAGAGAGCUACCCUAUCUGCUCUGACCACGACGAGUGCAUCGCCCGCCCAGAGAGGAUCAAGAUCCAGAAAGGUUUCAUGGCGAAGGAGUCCGUGAAGGGGCACAUGGUUAACGUUGUGAAAGGCCUGAAGAUAUAUGAAGAUGUGUUCACAACAAUGGAGCUCAUGAAGGUUGCUGAUUUCAUCAAUGAAAUUCGCCAGGCUGGUAGAAAUGGGGAGCUUUCAGGUGAGACCUUCAUAUUCUUCAACAAGCAGAUCAAAGGGAAUAAGAGAGAGAUCAUUCAGCUCGGUGUCCCACUAUUUCAACAUACCACAGAGGAAACCAAUUGUCAUAUAGAACCAAUCCCAGUUGUCCUGCAGGCUGUCAUCGACCACCUUGUUCUUUGGCGCUUAAUACCAGAAAGCAGGAAACCAAACAGUGUCAUCAUCAAUUUCUUCGAUGAGGACGAGCACUCGCAGCCCUACUUCAAGCCUCCCCACCUGGACAACCCCAUUUCCACUCUCCUGCUGUCUGAAACCUCAAUGGCAUUUGGAAGGUCACUUGUCACUGACAGCAACGGCAACUACAAGGGACCCCUCACACUCUCACUGAAGCAAGGGUCACUUCUGGUGAUGCGCGGGAACAGCGCGGACAUGGCGCGCCACGUCGUGUGCCCGUCGUCCAACCGCCGCGUGAGCAUCACGUUCGUGAGGGUGAGGCCAUCAACUCCGGUGGACCUCAGCCCGCUCCCGUCGCCCACCAAGGCCAUGACGCUCUGGCAGCCUCCCCCGACUGCGGCAACGGCCGGCAUGCAGAAACCGCCUCACGGCAGCAACGGCGCCAUCAUCGGCUACUGCCCGGCGCCACAGGCCAUGCUCGCCCCGGCUUGGGGCAUGGCCGUGCGCGCGGCACCCGUCAUGAUGGUCGCCGCGCCGGCGAGGCCAAUGGUGAUGGCGCCCUCCAGCAACAUCAACAAGAGGAUGGGGCGCGGCGGCACCGGCGUGUUCCUGCCGUGGACGGUGGGGCCCAAGAGGUACAACAAGCACCUCCCCCCGCGCAUCCAGAAGCGCCGGUUCUCGGCGAUGAUGUCGCCCAUAGAGUCGCAGGGCUGA
This 1701-nucleotide ribosomal RNA is filed under the name Triticum aestivum (bread wheat). Its description in RNAcentral is "partial small subunit ribosomal RNA". Lineage: Eukaryota; Viridiplantae; Streptophyta; Magnoliopsida; Poales; Poaceae. The record is from RNAcentral.